AUUGAACGCUGGCGGCAGGCCUCACACAUGCAAGUCGAACGAGUGGCGGACGGGUGAGUAAUGUCUGGGAAACUGCCUGAUGGUGGGGGAUAACUACUGGAAACGGUAGCUAAUACCGCAUACCAUCAGAUGUGCCCAGAUGGGAUUAGCUAGUAGGUGGGGUAACGGCUCACCAAGGCGACGAUCCCUAGCUGGUCGGAGUGGAUGACCAGCCACACUGGAACUGAGACACGGUCCAGACUCCUACGGGGGGCAGCAGUUGGGAAGAUUGCAAAAUGGGCGAAAGCCUGAUGCAGCCGUGCCGCGUGUGUGAAGAAGGCCUUCGGGUUGUAAAGCACUUUCAGCGGGGAGGCGUUACCCGCAGAAGAAGCACCGGCUAACUCCGUGCCAGCAGCCGCGGUAAUUC
This 406-nucleotide ribosomal RNA is filed under the name uncultured bacterium. RNAcentral's name for it is "partial 16S ribosomal RNA". It matches the Rfam family "Bacterial small subunit ribosomal RNA", at positions 30 to 526 of the family's 1533-position model. The record is from RNAcentral.